Molecule: ribosomal RNA, 497 nt
Filed under: uncultured bacterium
Lineage: Bacteria
Description: partial 16S ribosomal RNA
Rfam family: Bacterial small subunit ribosomal RNA
Source: RNAcentral
GACGAACGCUGGCGGCGUGCCUAAUACAUGCAAGUUGAGCGCUGAAGGUUGGUACUUGUACCAACUGGAUGAGCAGCGAACGGGUGGGUAACGCGUGGGGAAUCUGCCUUUGAGCGGGGGACAACAUUUGGAAACGAAUGCUAAUACCGCAUAAAAACUUUAAACACAAGUUUUAAGUUUGAAAGAUGCAAUUGCAUCACUCAAAGAUGAUCCCGCGUUGUAUUAGCUAGUUGGUGAGGUAAAGGCUCACCAAGGCGAUGAUACAUAGCCGACCUGAGAGGGUGAUCGGCCACAUUGGGACUGAGACACGGCCCAAACUCCUCCGGGAGGCAGCAGUAGGGAAUCUUCGGCAAUGGACGAAAGUCUGACCGAGCAACGCCGCGUGAGUGAAGAAGGUUUUCGGAUCGUAAAACUCUGUUGGUAGAGAAGAACGUUGGUGAGAGUGGAAAGCUCAUCAAGUGACGGUAACUACCCAGAAAGGGACGGCUAACUACGUG